RNAcentral lists this ribosomal RNA (273 nucleotides) under uncultured bacterium. Its description in RNAcentral is "partial 16S ribosomal RNA". It matches the Rfam family "Bacterial small subunit ribosomal RNA", at positions 524 to 796 of the family's 1533-position model. The record is from RNAcentral.
UACGUAGGUGGCAAGCGUUGUCCGGAUUUAUUGGGUUUAAAGGGUGCGUAGGCGGCUAUUUAAGUCAGCGGUGAAAUAUCUCAGCUUAACUGAGAGGGUGCCAUUGAUACUGGAUAGCUUGAGUACAGACGAGGUAGGCGGAAUUGACGGUGUAGCGGUGAAAUGCAUAGAUAUCGUCAAGAACACCGAUAGUGAAGACAGCUUACUAGGCUGUAACUGACGCUGAGGCACGAAAGUGUGGGGAUCAAACAGGAUUAGAUACCCCCGUAGUCC